Molecule: transfer RNA, 62 nt
Filed under: Acerella muscorum
Lineage: Eukaryota; Metazoa; Arthropoda; Protura; Acerentomata; Acerentomidae
Description: tRNA-Asp
Source: RNAcentral
UUAAAAUUAGUUAAUUAAUAAUAUAAAUAUGUCAUAUUUAAGUAAAAGUAAAUUAUUUUAAU